CGGGGUGUAGCUCAACUUGGCGGAGCGCCUGCUUUGGGAGCAGGAGGCCCCUGGUUCAAAUCCAGGUACCCCGA
This 74-nucleotide transfer RNA is filed under the name Kouleothrix aurantiaca. It matches the Rfam family "tRNA". From Rfam's summary of the family: Transfer RNA (tRNA) molecules are approximately 80 nucleotides in length. Their secondary structure includes four short double-helical elements and three loops (D, anti-codon, and T loops). The record is from Rfam by way of RNAcentral. Lineage: Bacteria; Bacillati; Chloroflexota; Chloroflexia; Chloroflexales; Roseiflexaceae.